GAUGAACGCUGGCGGCGUGCCUAACACAUGCAAGUCGAACGGAAAGGCUCCAGCUUGCUGCCGCUCUCGAUUGGCGAGCGGGUGAGAAAAACGUGGGUAUUCUGUCCUGCGCUGUGGGGUAAACCUGGGAAACUGGGUAUCGCAUACGAUAUAAGCUUUUUACCCGUGGGGUUCGAUGGAAAGUGUUGGGGUUUCGGUCGCUCCCAGGUGCUGUCGCGUCGCAGUAGCUAGUUGGUCAGGUAAAGGCUUACCAAGGCAACGAUGCGUAGCCGACCUGAGAGGGUGAUCGGCCACACUGGAACGGAGACACGGACAAGACUCCUACGGGAGGCAGCAGUAGGGAAUGUUCGGCAAUGGGCGGAAGCCUGACACAGCGACGCCGCGUGAGUGAUGAAGGCCUUCGGAUCGUAAAAAGCUGUUAUUAGGGAAGAACAACUGUCUAAGUAAACAUGCACGUCUUGACGGUACCUAAAGAGAAAGCACCGGCUAACUACGUG
This 497-nucleotide ribosomal RNA is filed under the name uncultured bacterium. Its description in RNAcentral is "partial 16S ribosomal RNA". It matches the Rfam family "Bacterial small subunit ribosomal RNA", at positions 28 to 507 of the family's 1533-position model. The record is from RNAcentral.